GGAGUGGUGCUUUUUGUCAGGUUCUUUGAAACGUUCCUCCUGCACCUUGCUAUUGGAGCGUGCUGUCUUCAAAGCUCAACAUACUGUUCCUGGGAGCCAUCUUCCAUAUAUGGGGAGAAGGUGCAGCAUCCAUUUGUGCUCUGCAGCGUUCCAGGAGUAUUGCCAAACCAAAAAUAGAACUCCUAACAACAAAAGGAAUAAGUACAACCUUACUGAAGCAUGAGGGGCUUGGAAUACAAAUAAGCUGUUUGUUCACCUGCAUUGUCUUCUUGCAUUUUGGCUCUUCCCCUUUCAGAACUGCUCAUAAGCUCUUUGCUAAAACAGGAAUGUGCUAAGACUCCUGUGACACCAUUUAGCAACCUCAGCUGAAUAAAGUGGCUGCCGUAGUCCCACACAGGGUUGAAUAGGAAACUGAAUAGCACCGCUGUGCAGGGCUUCCAAGUAGCAGGAAAUCUGUAUCUCCAAAGUCUCUGCAGGAAAUAAUCAGAAAUUCAGUAGGGGACAUGGAUGUGUACACUCAAGUCUUGGAUAUGGAGUGGAUCCAAAAUCACAGGCAUGUACAACCCAAGAUGUCACAAAUUGCAUGCUAUUAGAUGCUGUCAUAAGAUAUCUUCUACUUAGUGCUCAAAUGCUUCUACAUUU
Dromaius novaehollandiae (emu) is the source of this 642-nucleotide long non-coding RNA. RefSeq lists it as uncharacterized. The transcript has 5 exons. Lineage: Eukaryota; Metazoa; Chordata; Aves; Casuariiformes; Dromaiidae. The record is from RefSeq and is a predicted model, not a curated record.